AUAUAAGACAGACAAAAUUGUUAAAUUCAUUAUUUCUGGAGUAACUUCGUAUUUUAAAAGUCUUCCAGCAGAUUUAUACAAAUCUUCCAUUAUGAACAAGUUAAUGUUGGUGUUACUCCUGGUGAGUUGUGUCACCUUGGUUAUCGUUCCUGAGGUUGCUGAAGCUCAGGGCGGUGGACGGUGUAAAUGUAGAUCUAGAUGUUACCCUGGAGAAUACCCACGCGGGCGCUGUGGUUAUCUGAUUCGUUGCUGUAGAAAAUAUUAUGGCUAAUAAGGAAUGAAGUCAAAUGGUUCUAGCUUGAAUUGGUCAAAUUUUAAAACUUUUUGGUGGAGGAUUUAAGAAAUUGUCCAGAACUUCAAUUUUAUGUUCAUGAUUCUUAAAUAAAAAUGCAAGGAUUCAUAUAGUA
Long non-coding RNA from Mercenaria mercenaria, 407 nucleotides. RefSeq lists it as uncharacterized. The record is from RefSeq and is a predicted model, not a curated record. Lineage: Eukaryota; Metazoa; Mollusca; Bivalvia; Venerida; Veneridae. The transcript is spliced from 3 exons.